UACGUAGGGUGCAAGCGUUAAUCGGAAUUACUGGGCGUAAAGCGUGCGCAGGCGGCUUUGCAAGACAGGUGUGAAAUCCCCGGGCCUAACCUGGGAACUGCAUUUGUGACUGCAUGGCUAGAGUCUGUCAGAGGGGGGUGGAAUUCCACGUGUAGCAGUGAAAUGCGUAGAGAUGUGGAAGAACACCGAUGGCGAAGGCAGCCCCCUGGGAUGAGACUGACGCUCAUGCACGAAAGCGUGGGGAGCAAACAGG
Molecule: ribosomal RNA, 253 nt
Filed under: uncultured bacterium
Lineage: Bacteria
Description: partial 16S ribosomal RNA
Rfam family: Bacterial small subunit ribosomal RNA
Source: RNAcentral